RNAcentral lists this ribosomal RNA (532 nucleotides) under Vibrio cholerae. Its description in RNAcentral is "partial 23S ribosomal RNA". It matches the Rfam family "Bacterial large subunit ribosomal RNA", at positions 2266 to 2797 of the family's 2925-position model. The record is from RNAcentral. Lineage: Bacteria; Pseudomonadati; Pseudomonadota; Gammaproteobacteria; Vibrionales; Vibrionaceae.
UAGUUUGACUGGGGCGGUCUCCUCCCAAAGAGUAACGGAGGAGCACGAAGGUGGGCUAAUCACGGUUGGACAUCGUGAGGUUAGUGCAAUGGCAUAAGCCCGCUUAACUGCGAGAAUGACGGUUCGAGCAGGUGCGAAAGCAGGUCAUAGUGAUCCGGUGGUUCUGUAUGGAAGGGCCAUCGCUCAACGGAUAAAAGGUACUCCGGGGAUAACAGGCUGAUACCGCCCAAGAGUUCAUAUCGACGGCGGUGUUUGGCACCUCGAUGUCGGCUCAUCACAUCCUGGGGCUGAAGUCGGUCCCAAGGGUAUGGCUGUUCGCCAUUUAAAGUGGUACGCGAGCUGGGUUUAGAACGUCGUGAGACAGUUCGGUCCCUAUCUGCCGUGGGCGUUGGAAGAUUGAAGGGGGCUGCUCCUAGUACGAGAGGACCGGAGUGGACGAACCUCUGGUGUUCGGGUUGUGUCGCCAGACGCAUUGCCCGGUAGCUAAGUUCGGAAUUGAUAAGCGCUGAAAGCAUCUAAGCGCGAAGCGAGC